CGAAGGGCGUAGCGUUGCUCGGAAUCACUGGGCGUAAAGGUGCGUAGGCGGGUCUUAAGUCAGGGUGGAAAUCCUGGAGCUCAACUCCAGAACUGCCUUUGAUACUGAAGAUCUUGAGUCCGGGAGAGGUGAGUGGAACUGCGAGUGUAGAGGUGAAAUUCGUAGAUAUUCGCAAGAACACCAGUGGCGAAGGCGGCUCACUGGCCCGGUACUGACGCUGAGGCACGAAAGCGUGGGAGCAAACAGGAUU
This 250-nucleotide ribosomal RNA is filed under the name uncultured bacterium. RNAcentral's name for it is "partial 16S ribosomal RNA". It matches the Rfam family "Bacterial small subunit ribosomal RNA", at positions 526 to 779 of the family's 1533-position model. The record is from RNAcentral.